This 560-nucleotide ribosomal RNA is filed under the name Pseudomonas sp. C3-7. RNAcentral describes it as "bacterial SSU rRNA". It matches the Rfam family "Bacterial small subunit ribosomal RNA", at positions 137 to 692 of the family's 1533-position model. Lineage: Bacteria; Pseudomonadati; Pseudomonadota; Gammaproteobacteria; Pseudomonadales; Pseudomonadaceae. The record is from RNAcentral.
UGGGGGAUAACGUUCGGAAACGGACGCUAAUACCGCAUACGUCCUACGGGAGAAAGCAGGGGACCUUCGGGCCUUGCGCUAUCAGAUGAGCCUAGGUCGGAUUAGCUAGUUGGUGGGGUAAUGGCUCACCAAGGCGACGAUCCGUAACUGGUCUGAGAGGAUGAUCAGUCACACUGGAACUGAGACACGGUCCAGACUCCUACGGGAGGCAGCAGUGGGGAAUAUUGGACAAUGGGCGAAAGCCUGAUCCAGCCAUGCCGCGUGUGUGAAGAAGGUCUUCGGAUUGUAAAGCACUUUANNUUGGGAGGAAGGGCAAUUACCUAAUACGUGAUUGUUUUGACGUUACCNACAGAAUAANCACCGGCUAACUCUGUGCCAGCAGCCGCGGUAAUACAGAGGGUGCAAGCGUUAAUCGGAAUUACUGGGCGUAAAGCGCGCGUAGGUGGUUUGUUAAGUUGGAUGUGAAAUCCCCGGGCUCAACCUGGGAACUGCAUUCAAAACUGACUGACUAUANUAUGGUAGAGGGUGGUGGAAUUUCCUGUGUAGCGGUGAAAUGCNUA